AAGAUUUUAAGUUAAAUAAACUAAUAGCCUUCAAAGCUUUAAAUAAAUUAAAUUAAUUUAAAUCUUA
Molecule: transfer RNA, 67 nt
Filed under: Tenthredo tienmushana
Lineage: Eukaryota; Metazoa; Arthropoda; Insecta; Hymenoptera; Tenthredinidae
Description: tRNA-Trp
Source: RNAcentral